GAGGUAGGCCGGAGAGUCGCUUCCCUUUUGGGGAGAGGAAAGUCCGGGCUCCACAGGGCAGGGAGCUGGCGUUGAGCCAGGCAGGGGAAACUCUGCGGAGAGGGCCACAGAAAACAGACCGCCCCUUAAAGGGGUAAGGGUGAAAAGGUGGUGUAAGAGACCACCGCCUCUUUCCGCGAGGAGAGAGGGCAUGGUAACCCCCUCCCGGAGCAAGGCUAAAUAGGUCGGCGCUUGAGGGUUGCCCGCCCGAUGCCGACGGGUAAGCCGCUUAGAUAAAUGGCUCUCUAAAACAGAACCCGGCUUACGGGCCUGCCUACUCC
This 320-nucleotide RNase P RNA is filed under the name Desulfurobacterium indicum. RNAcentral's name for it is "Bacterial RNase P class A". It matches the Rfam family "Bacterial RNase P class A". Rfam says of the family: Ribonuclease P (RNase P) is a ubiquitous endoribonuclease, found in archaea, bacteria and eukarya as well as chloroplasts and mitochondria. Its best characterised activity is the generation of mature 5'-ends of tRNAs by cleaving the 5'-leader elements of precursor-tRNAs. Lineage: Bacteria; Pseudomonadati; Aquificota; Aquificia; Desulfurobacteriales; Desulfurobacteriaceae. The record is from Rfam by way of RNAcentral.